This 879-nucleotide ribosomal RNA is filed under the name uncultured bacterium. RNAcentral describes it as "bacterial SSU rRNA". It matches the Rfam family "Bacterial small subunit ribosomal RNA", at positions 8 to 916 of the family's 1533-position model. The record is from RNAcentral.
AGAGUUUGAUCCUGGCUCAGGAUGAACGCUGGCGGCGUGCCUAACACAUGCAAGUCGAGCGAUCUUCUUCGGAAGAGAGCGGCGGACGGGUGAGUAACGCGUGGGUAACCUGCCUCAUACACAUGGAUAACAUACCGAAAGGUAUGCUAAUACAAGAUGAUAUAAGAGAUUCGCAUGGAUUUCUUAUCAAAGCUCCGGCGGUAUGAGAUGGACCCGCGUCUGAUUAGCUAGUUGGUAAGGUAACGGCUUACCAAGGCGACGAUCAGUAGCCGACCUGAGAGGGUGAUCGGCCACAUUGGAACUGAGACACGGUCCAAACUCCUACGGGAGGCAGCAGUGGGGAAUAUUGCACAAUGGGCGAAAGCCUGAUGCAGCAACGCCGCGUGAGCGAUGAAGGCCUUCGGGUCGUAAAGCUCUGUCCUCAAGGAAGAUAAUGACGGUACUUGAGGAGGAAGCCCCGGCUAACUACGUGCCAGCAGCCGCGGUAAUACGUAGGGGGCUAGCGUUAUCCGGAUUUACUGGGCGUAAAGGGUGCGUAGGUGGUUUCUUAAGUCAGGAGUGAAAGGCUACGGCUCAACCGUAGUAAGCUCUUGAAACUGGGAAACUUGAGUGCAGGAGAGGAAAGUGGAAUUCCUAGUGUAGCGGUGAAAUGCGUAGAUAUUAGGAGGAACACCAGUAGCGAAGGCGGCUUUCUGGACUGUAACUGACACUGAGGCACGAAAGCGUGGGGAGCAAACAGGAUUAGAUACCCUGCUAGUCCACGCCGUAAACGAUGAGUACUAGGUGUCGGGGGUUACCCCCCUCGGUGCCGCAGCUAACGCAUUAAGUACUCCGCCUGGGGAGUACGCUCGCAAGAGUGAAACUCAAAGGAAUUGACGG